Molecule: long non-coding RNA, 562 nt
Filed under: Mus musculus (house mouse)
Lineage: Eukaryota; Metazoa; Chordata; Mammalia; Rodentia; Muridae
Description: predicted gene, 51871, transcript variant 2 (Gm51871)
Source: RNAcentral
GCUCUCCACCACCCAGGGGGCCUAGAGGGAGACGAUUGGAUUCUUCUGUUCUCAUCCAGUAUCACUGAGGACCUUGAAGUCUUGGAUUCGGCCAUAGGCCCGAAUGACACUGGUGCCCGUUACUGUCUCCGAAAAGUGGGAGAAGAUGGGUGAGCGGCUGAUGGAUUCCAGCCGCUUGAGCUGCCGUGAUGUGGCCACAUAGAAGCGCUGGCCAGGGAUAGGAAGAGAACUCCAGUCAGGAAUGUCAUCCAGCCCAACUCAGCCCUGCAUGUCCUCCAGUCUCCUGUGCUUCCUCCUCCUGGCCCUGCUCUUCCCACAAGCCUCGCUCGAGCUUCCUACACUUUCUUGGAGAACAGAUUCCAGACAGACAUUAUUCACUUCCCCUCUGAUCAACUUUGCCCAGUCAGCCAGGCCACCUCUUCCACGCAGCUCUCUCUGAUUCCCUAUGCCCUCCUGUCUCCUCAUCUUUUACAGCCCGUGAUACUAUCUUGUUUAACCUCCAAGGCAGUGAGAUGUCUUGUUCUACUUAAAGAUCCUAGAUCAUAUGAUCAUAUUCAAAUGA